Molecule: ribosomal RNA, 482 nt
Filed under: uncultured bacterium
Lineage: Bacteria
Description: partial 16S ribosomal RNA
Rfam family: Bacterial small subunit ribosomal RNA
Source: RNAcentral
GACGAACGCUGGCGGCGUGCCUAACACAUGCAAGUCGAACGGAACUGUUUUGAAAGAUUUCUUCGGAAUGAAUUUGAGUUAGUUUAGUGGCGGACGGGUGAGUAACGCGUGAGGAACCUGCGUUCAAGAGGGGAAUAACAUUCUGAAAAGAAUGCUAAUACCGCAUGACAUAUCGGAACCACAUGGUUUUGAUAUCAAAGAGUUUAUCGCUGGAAGAUGGACUCGCGUCCGAUUAGUUAGUUGGUGAGGUAACGGCUCACCAAGACCGCGAUCGGUAGCCGGACUCAGAGGUUGAACGGCCCCCUUGGGACUCCGACCCGGCCCAGACUCCUACGGGAGGCAGCAGUGGGGGAUAUUGCGCAAUGGGGGCAACCCUGACGCCUCACCGCCGCGUGAAGGAUGAAGGUUUUCGGAUUGUAAACUUCUUUUAUUAAGGACGAAAAAUGACGGUACUUAAUGAAUAAGCUCCGGCUAACUACGUG